This 1289-nucleotide long non-coding RNA is filed under the name Salvia miltiorrhiza (redroot sage). Its description in RNAcentral is "long non-coding RNA (SMIL_LNC001908)". The record is from RNAcentral. Lineage: Eukaryota; Viridiplantae; Streptophyta; Magnoliopsida; Lamiales; Lamiaceae.
AUAAUUAAAUGUUGUGUGAUAAAAGAAUGGUUAAAUUGAGUUUUAAUACUAAAAUGGUAUUUACGUGGUUCUUUGUAGUUAAGCCACAUAUUUCUGAUUGAAUCUGCUUCAGCCACUGAACAUCUGUUCUUUCAAGUCCACCCUAUUACCUUUAUCACUUCAUUUUCUGAAAAUUUGCCCAAACGCACCAAACUUAAAUUCAUUUCCGUUCGGUUGUCUGCAGAGCUUCACAAGGUAAUUAAUCCUUUUAUUCAGUAAAUAAAUUAUACAGUUUUGUUUCAAUACAGCAAGCCUAUCUUUUCUUCUUUCUUUCAUCUUGAGCAAACACACCAAGCAACCUAAGAUUUCUCACAAAAAAAAUUCUCAUUCUUGAAUUCAGAUACCCAACACACAUCUUCUGUUAAUCGACCCACGUACAAAAUCAGAUGCCUUAAUUAUCUAAUCUAAAACAAAUAAAAUGAAAUUAGAUAUAUAGAAUGACAGGGAGGAAUUAGAGAUGGAAUUGUCGGCCGAAGAAGGGAGGGCUCGCCGCGAGGAGAGAUGAAGGCUCGGCGGUGGCUACUCGUCGGAGCAGGAGAGCGGCGGUGGCCGUUGUUUUAUUUUUCUUUUUUUUUAAAAUGAUGUUUUUAUUUGCACCUAAUAUAAGUAUCUAUGUUUUGUUUAGUGUAAGCUUGAGUAUUAUCUUUAUGUGGCUUCAUACUUAGGGCGUGUUUGAUUUCUUUGUUAAGGGUAGUUUGUAUAGCAAAUUGGUAAUUUUUUGGUGUUUGAUAUGUAAUUUAAGGAUAGCUGGAGUCCCGGACUUAGCGCAUGGCCCGCGCCUAAUUCACUGUUCAACUAAGGAAAUGGGUGAGGGGGUGGGCUCCGGUUAGUGUAGCUGGAGUGGCAAAUUUAUUUUUCUUUCCCAAAAUUGCCCCAAUUCAUCUCUCUCUCUCUCUCUCUCUCUCUCCUCGUUCUUCCUCAUCUCUCUGGAAGAUCUUCUCUCUCGCUCUCGAUCUCUCUUUGCAACAUGAAUCUCUCCUCAUUCUCAUCUUCCUCAUGAAAUCCGGUAAGCUCUCUCGUCGCCGAGGAUCGCCGUCAACAGCCAACCCCUUAUUUUCUCGUCUUCCUUCUUUUCUUCUCUCUUUCGCCCCUCCCCAUUCUCUCUCUCUUCGCCGUGAACGGCUGCGGCCACGCUGCACAUGCAGCGCCGGCCGCUGCUGCCACCAUUCUCCAGCCCCGACUCCACUCCUUCCCCUACCCUGACCUUUAAUUUGUUAGUCCUCCAGAAUUCCCCAAUUUCAGGAACCCUC